UACGGAGGAUCCAAGCGUUAUCCGGAUUUAUUGGGUUUAAAGGGUGCGUAGGCGGAAUUGUAAGUCAGUGGUGAAAGCCCAUCGCUCAACGGUGGAACGGCCAUUGAUACUGCCAGACUUGAAUUAUUAGGAAGUAACUAGAAUAUGUAGUGUAGCGGUGAAAUGCUUAGAGAUUACAUGGAAUACCAAUUGCGAAGGCAGGUUACUACUAAUGGAUUGACGCUGAUGGACGAAAGCGUGGGUAGCGAACAGG
This 253-nucleotide ribosomal RNA is filed under the name uncultured bacterium. RNAcentral's name for it is "partial 16S ribosomal RNA". It matches the Rfam family "Bacterial small subunit ribosomal RNA", at positions 524 to 776 of the family's 1533-position model. The record is from RNAcentral.